GCCCACCAAAGAAAGCUUCUAUGAGGACGACACGGGAAAAUGCCCUGCAGUUCAGUGCUACUUCAUCUCUGGCAAACGCCUGUUCUGAAUCAACCCAAGUCCAGGGAAGCCUCAGACUGGCCCACUAACAACACAGGGACAAAACAUUGCUUAUGACAGGCAAAGAGAGACACUGUAAAUGACUAGACUGAAGGCAAAACCAUUUCAGCCACAACAGUAGGGUCCAUGUAGCACUCUAGGAGACACCUCUGAAGUGCCAGAUUCUUGUGAACAGAUACUACACUGCAGGGGACUGCAAGACCUCUUCUUCAUGAGUCUAUAACUUUCAAGACAUAUAUCUCACUUUUCUAAGGCAUGGAUAUAGACACAGAGUUAGACAAAAAGAGAAGACAGAGGAAUAUGACCCAAAUGAAAGAACAGGACAAAACCACAGCAAGGGACCUAAAUAAAACAGAGCGAUCUGGAUGGAAGACUUGAUAAGUGGAGGUAUAGCCAUCUUGGUACCAUGGGAGAAAAUGCAGUAAAAUCAUGGACAUACCAAGCCUUCUGAUAACAUUGAACUGCUGAGCCAAACAUGGAGCUAUAUACUGCCAGAAUGCUUAUCCUGAGAUGUAACUAAAAAUUUUAUUAAGUCACAA
Molecule: long non-coding RNA, 638 nt
Organism: Suricata suricatta (meerkat)
Lineage: Eukaryota; Metazoa; Chordata; Mammalia; Carnivora; Herpestidae
Exons: 2
Source: RefSeq, a predicted model, not a curated record